RNAcentral lists this ribosomal RNA (598 nucleotides) under Crangonyx parhobbsi. Its description in RNAcentral is "Crangonyx sp. 1 AGC-2020 partial large subunit ribosomal RNA". It matches the Rfam family "Eukaryotic large subunit ribosomal RNA", at positions 170 to 633 of the family's 3401-position model. The record is from RNAcentral. Lineage: Eukaryota; Metazoa; Arthropoda; Malacostraca; Amphipoda; Crangonyctidae.
GCUAUCCCGACUAACGGAGGGACUGACUCCACGGAGGGUGUAAGACCCGUGUGGGCGCGUGUUAUAGCUGAUUGGGGUUGGCCUCUUUUCCCUGAGAGUCGCGUUGCUCUGGCAUGCAGCGCUAAGCAGGUCGUAAACUCGAUCUAAGGCUAAAUAUUUCCACAGGCCCGAUAGCGAACAAGUACCGUGAGGGAAAGUUGAAAAGCACUCUGAAGAGAGAGUCAAAAGACCGUGAAACCGCUCAGAGUAUAAGCCCAUGGAGCUCGGAAGGCAUACCGCAGUCCAAGAACAAGGUCGGCUUGCAUGAAUGGUCCGUCAGGCAGUGGCAUUGAGUUGAUAACACGCUGACGUGCGGGGGAGGACACUGGUCGUCAAGACGGGCUUCGGCCCGUUUUGCUCGGCCAGCUACUCCCUUGAGCACGGACGUUCAAGGGUGCUUGCCGUAUGCGGAAACGCCCACCACGUCUCGUUGUGUGGUCACCCACAGGCUCGACUGUCGGUCGCGUGUUCACCUAGUUCGCAAAGAUGUGUCGAUGGCUGUCCCUGGCCCCCCCUCUAGGGGUCGGGACUGACACUUGCGUUCGAGGCUACUUAUCUU